This 253-nucleotide ribosomal RNA is filed under the name uncultured bacterium. RNAcentral's name for it is "partial 16S ribosomal RNA". It matches the Rfam family "Bacterial small subunit ribosomal RNA", at positions 524 to 776 of the family's 1533-position model. The record is from RNAcentral.
UACGUAGGCAGCAAGCGUUGUUCGGAAUUACUGGGCGUAAAGGGCUCGUAGGCGGCCAACUAAGUCAGACGUGAAAUCCCUCGGCUUAACCGGGGAACUGCAUCUGAUACUGGAGGGCUUGAGUGCGGGAGAGGGAUGUGGAAUUCCAGGUGUAGCGGUGAAAUGCGUAGAUAUCUGGAGGAACACCGGUGGCGAAGGCGGCAUCCUGGACCGACACUGACGCUGAGGCGCGAAAGCUAGGGUAGCAAACGGG